GCCGGGCGUGGUGGCGUGCGCCUGUAGUCCCAGCUACUCAGGAGGCUGAGGCAGGAGAAUCGCUUGAGCCUGGGAGGCAGAGGUUGCAGUGAGCUGAGAUCAUGCCACUGCACUCCAGCCUGGGUGACAGAGUGAGACUCUGUCUCAC
RNAcentral lists this small RNA (148 nucleotides) under Papio anubis (olive baboon). RNAcentral's name for it is "Metazoan signal recognition particle RNA (ENSPANG00000048150.1)". Lineage: Eukaryota; Metazoa; Chordata; Mammalia; Primates; Cercopithecidae. The record is from Rfam by way of RNAcentral.